Molecule: transfer RNA, 65 nt
Filed under: Microcharidius diecki
Lineage: Eukaryota; Metazoa; Arthropoda; Insecta; Coleoptera; Carabidae
Description: tRNA-Leu
Source: RNAcentral
AUUAUUUUGGCAGAAUAAAUGCAAUGAAUUUAGAAUUCUUUUAUGUAAUUUUUUUACAAAUAAUA